This 22-nucleotide microRNA is filed under the name Gallid alphaherpesvirus 2. RNAcentral describes it as "mdv1-miR-M8-5p". Its record names the gene mdv1-miR-M8-5p. The record is from miRBase by way of RNAcentral. Lineage: Duplodnaviria; Heunggongvirae; Peploviricota; Herviviricetes; Herpesvirales; Orthoherpesviridae.
UAUUGUUCUGUGGUUGGUUUCG